Molecule: non-coding RNA, 61 nt
Organism: Caenorhabditis tropicalis
Lineage: Eukaryota; Metazoa; Nematoda; Chromadorea; Rhabditida; Rhabditidae
Source: Rfam
UACAGAAGCAUAGAUUUCCACACACCAAGAUGAGUUUGUGCAAAUCUGUCGCAUCUGUAGG